RNAcentral lists this long non-coding RNA (411 nucleotides) under Bos taurus (domestic cattle). RNAcentral's name for it is "long non-coding RNA NONBTAT001381". The record is from RNAcentral. Lineage: Eukaryota; Metazoa; Chordata; Mammalia; Artiodactyla; Bovidae.
UAUACUUCUUGGGUUACCCCCAUCACACUUAAACUGUACAAAAGGCAGAAUUCUGUAAGGUGAACUUAAGUGAAAUUACCAUUUAUUUGCAUAUAAUCUCAUUGCUUUGUAAUUACUAUGAAUUAUUUUAAAUCUUCUGUAAUAAAACAUAAACUUUUCUCUCCCUAUCAUAUUUUCAACCAUACCAAAAAAAGGGAGUUUUACUAAAUGAAGUUAAUAAUGUGCUGUGUAUGUUUUACAUCUCUCUUACUAGACAAUUCCCAGAUGGCAGGGCAACUAUUGUUAGCUUUGUGCACAAAUAUAGCACAGUGUUAACAUAAAGAGUAUUUAUUCAAUAUAAUUUUUUGUUCAAAUGAAUCCUUAUGCUAGCACUUAUAAUCAGUGAAAAUUGUGAAAUGAAAUUAGGCUGGC